GAUGAACGCUGGCGGCGUGCUUAACACAUGCAAGUCGAGCGAGAAGUUUUGAACAGAUUCUUCGGAUGAAAUUUAAAAUGGAAAGCGGCGGACGGGUGAGUAACGCGUAGGCAACCUGCCCCAUACAAAGGGAUAGCAUUUGGAAACGAAUAUUAAUACCUUAUGAAACUUAACUAGUGCAUGCUAGGUAGGUCAAAGAUUUAUCGGUAUGGGAUGGGCCUGCGUCUGAUUAGCUAGUUGGUGAGGUAACGGCUCACCAAGGCGACGAUCAGUAGCCGACCUGAGAGGGUGAACGGCCACAUUGGAACUGAGGCACGGUCCAAACUCCUACGGGAGGCAGCAGUGGGGAAUAUUGCACAAUGGGGGAAACCCUGAUGCAGCAACGCCGCGUGAACGAUGAAGGCCUUUGGGUCGUAAAGUUCUGUUCUAGGUGAUGAAAACUGACAGUAACCUAGGAGAAAGCCCCGGCUAACUCCGUG
Molecule: ribosomal RNA, 479 nt
Filed under: uncultured bacterium
Lineage: Bacteria
Description: partial 16S ribosomal RNA
Rfam family: Bacterial small subunit ribosomal RNA
Source: RNAcentral